RNAcentral lists this transfer RNA (73 nucleotides) under Danionella translucida. It matches the Rfam family "tRNA". From Rfam's summary of the family: Transfer RNA (tRNA) molecules are approximately 80 nucleotides in length. Their secondary structure includes four short double-helical elements and three loops (D, anti-codon, and T loops). The record is from Rfam by way of RNAcentral. Lineage: Eukaryota; Metazoa; Chordata; Actinopteri; Cypriniformes; Danionidae. RNAcentral also lists the same sequence under 1 other name.
GUUUUCGUAGUGUAGUGGUCAUCACGUUUGCCUCACAUGCAAAAGGUCCCCAGUUCGAAACUGGGCGGAAACA